Molecule: non-coding RNA, 866 nt
Organism: Onthophagus taurus
Lineage: Eukaryota; Metazoa; Arthropoda; Insecta; Coleoptera; Scarabaeidae
Source: RefSeq, a predicted model, not a curated record
AACCUCAAUCUGUCAAAAAACAAACGUCAAUAAACUAUAUAUUUUCACAUUUUCUCAAAAACAACAUUUGGAAUUCAAAUUACAGCGGGUGCAAUUCCAAUCAGAAAUGAAAAAGCGAUGCAAAAAGUUAAAGUGAAACUGAAAUGGUUUUCAAAAUGUUUUAAUGCAUAUAAUGAACUUAUCAGAUCCAAGUCUUACUUAUAAGAAUCUAGAAAUAACAUGGGAAAGUUCUAAAAUACUUUAUUAAUCUUUGAAUUUUGAAAAAAAGGAUUGAUAUGGUAGUGAUAUACUUUAAUAAAUAAAUAAAGCCAUUCAAGCAAUUAUUGGAAGCUGAAGAGAGAAUGCGACAAUUAGAAAAAAAUUUUAUUGAAUACUAAGAUGAGAUAAAAUUAAAUUAAAUGGCUGUAUUAAAAAUGGAGUUAAUUUCGAGGAAGGAAACUGUAAUAAAGCUAAAUUUUACUAAGAAAUUGCUCAAACAAAUUUUUCUUUAUUAGUUUAUUUUUAUAGAGUGCCAAAAACUAUUUCUAUUAUUUAAACUCAUUUUUUUAGGUGCCUUUAAUAAAUAUUACGCAUUUUGAACUUAAUUUUAAUCAUUUUAUCACCUCCACUUUUAUGUUGGUAACACUUCUAACCUCAAUCUGUCAAAAAACAAACGUCAAUAAAUUAUUUACAUAUUUUCUUUAAGAAAUUUUCCAUUUUCUCAAAAACAAUGAUGAACCCCCAAACAACAUUUGGUAUUCAAAGCACAGCGGGUGCAAUUCCCAUCAGAAAUGAAAAAGGUGAAUUAUCGAUGCAAAAAGUUAAAGUGCACCGAUACGUAUCGGGAAAACGACCGGAUUACGCUCAAGACGGUGAAAGUUCAUCGG